GGCAGUGUGGCCGAGUGGUCGAAGGUGCUGGUUUUAGGCACCAGUAUGAAAGGGCGGGGGCUCGAAUUCCACUGUAGUCA
RNAcentral lists this transfer RNA (80 nucleotides) under Echinococcus granulosus. It matches the Rfam family "tRNA". From Rfam's summary of the family: Transfer RNA (tRNA) molecules are approximately 80 nucleotides in length. Lineage: Eukaryota; Metazoa; Platyhelminthes; Cestoda; Cyclophyllidea; Taeniidae. The record is from Rfam by way of RNAcentral.